Molecule: ribosomal RNA, 253 nt
Filed under: uncultured bacterium
Lineage: Bacteria
Description: partial 16S ribosomal RNA
Rfam family: Bacterial small subunit ribosomal RNA
Source: RNAcentral
UACGAAGGGUGCAAGCGUUAAUCGGAAUUACUGGGCGUAAAGCGUGCGUAGACGGUUAUUUAAGUCGGAUGUGAAAGCCCCGGGCUCAACCUGGGAAUUGCAUUCGAGACUGAAUAGCUAGGGUACGGUAGAGGGAAGCGGAAUUUCCGGUGUAGCGGUGAAAUGCGUAGAUAUCGGAAGGAACAUCAGUGGCGAAAGCGGCUUCCUGGACCAGUACCGACGUUCAGGCACGAAAGCGUGGGGAGCAAACAGG